Molecule: ribosomal RNA, 380 nt
Filed under: uncultured eukaryote
Lineage: Eukaryota
Description: partial 18S ribosomal RNA
Rfam family: Eukaryotic small subunit ribosomal RNA
Source: RNAcentral
CAAUAGCGUAUAUUAAAGUUGUUGCGGUUAAAAAGCUCGUAGUUGGAUUUCUGCUGAGAACGACCGGUCCGCCCUUUGGGUGUGUAUCUGGCUCUUUCUUGGCAUCUUCUUGGUGAACGUUGCUGCACUUGACUGUGUGGAGCGCUACCCAGGACUUUUACUUUGAGGAAAUUAGAGUGUUUCAAGCAGGCAUACGCCUUGAAUACAUUAGCAUGGAAUAAUAAGAUAGGACCUCGGUUCUAUUUUGUUGGUUUCUAGAGCUGAGGUAAUGAUUAAUAGGGAUAGUUGGGGGCAUUCGUAUUUAACUGUCAGAGGUGAAAUUCUUGGAUUUAUGAAAGACGAACUACUGCGAAAGCAUUUGCCAAGGAUGUUUUCAUUGA